GUGAGGAAUAUUCCGCAAUGGGGGAAACCCUGACGGAGCAAUGCCGCGUGCAGGAUGAAGGCCCUCGGGUCAUAAACUGCUUUUAUAUGAGAAGAAUAUGACGGUAACAUAUGAAUAAGGGACGGCUAACUACGUGCCAGCAGCCGCGGUCAUACGUAGGUCCCAAGCGUUAUCCGGAGUGACUGGGCGUAAAGAGUUGCGUAGGCGGCUCGUUAAGCGUGAAAUGAAAUUUAUCGGCUCAACCGGUAAACUAUUUCGCGAACUGACGGGCUCGAGAGUAUGAGAGGUUACUGGAAUUUCUAGUGUAGCAGUGAAAUGCGUAGAUAUUAGAAAGAACACCAACGGCGUAGGCAGGUAACUGGCAUACAUCUGACGCUGAGGCACGAAAGCGUGGGGAGCGAACCGGAUUAGAAACCCCGGUAGUCC
This 426-nucleotide ribosomal RNA is filed under the name uncultured bacterium. RNAcentral's name for it is "partial 16S ribosomal RNA". It matches the Rfam family "Bacterial small subunit ribosomal RNA", at positions 354 to 796 of the family's 1533-position model. The record is from RNAcentral.